This 516-nucleotide ribosomal RNA is filed under the name uncultured bacterium. RNAcentral's name for it is "bacterial SSU rRNA". It matches the Rfam family "Bacterial small subunit ribosomal RNA", at positions 28 to 526 of the family's 1533-position model. The record is from RNAcentral.
GACGAACGCUGGCGGCGUGCCUAAUACAUGCAAGUCGAGCGGACAGAUGGGAGCUUGCUCCCUGAAGUCAGCGGCGGACGGGUGAGUAACACGUGGGCAACCUGCCUGUAAGACUGGGAUAACUUCGGGAAACCGGAGCUAAUACCGGAUAACACCGAGGACCUCAUGGUCCUUGGUUGAAAGAUGGCUUCGGCUAUCACUUACAGAUGGGCCCGCGGCGCAUUAGCUAGUUGGUGAGGUAACGGCUCACCAAGGCGACGAUGCGUAGCCGACCUGAGAGGGUGAUCGGCCACACUGGGACUGAGACACGGCCCAGACUCCUACGGGAGGCAGCAGUAGGGAAUCUUCCGCAAUGGACGAAAGUCUGACGGAGCAACGCCGCGUGAGCGAUGAAGGCCUUCGGGUCGUAAAGCUCUGUUGUUAGGGAAGAACAAGUACCGUUCGAAUAGGGCGGUACCUUGACGGUACCUAACCAGAAAGCCACGGCUAACUACGUGCCAGCAGCCGCAGUAACAC